RNAcentral lists this ribosomal RNA (463 nucleotides) under Staphylococcus aureus. RNAcentral's name for it is "partial 23S ribosomal RNA". It matches the Rfam family "Bacterial large subunit ribosomal RNA", at positions 1564 to 2027 of the family's 2925-position model. The record is from RNAcentral. Lineage: Bacteria; Bacillati; Bacillota; Bacilli; Caryophanales; Staphylococcaceae.
GAUGGGGAGAAGACAUUGUGUCUUCGAGUCGUUGAUUUCACACUGCCGAGAAAAGCCUCUAGAUAGAAAAUAGGUGCCCGUACCGCAAACCGACACAGGUAGUCAAGAUGAGAAUUCUAAGGUGAGCGAGCGAACUCUCGUUAAGGAACUCGGCAAAAUGACCCCGUAACUUCGGGAGAAGGGGUGCUCUUUAGGGUUAACGCCCAGAAGAGCCGCAGUGAAUAGGCCCAAGCGACUGUUUAUCAAAAACACAGGUCUCUGCUAAACCGUAAGGUGAUGUAUAGGGGCUGACGCCUGCCCGGUGCUGGAAGGUUAAGAGGAGUGGUUAGCUUCUGCGAAGCUACGAAUCGAAGCCCCAGUAAACGGCGGCCGUAACUAUAACGGUCCUAAGGUAGCGAAAUUCCUUGUCGGGUAAGUUCCGACCCGCACGAAAGGCGUAACGAUUUGGGCACUGUCUCAACGA